GAGUGCUAAGUGUUAGAGGGUUUCCGCCCUUUAGUGCUGAAAGUUAACGCAUCAAAGCACUCCGCCUGGGGAGUACGGCCGCAAGGCUGAAACUCAAAGGAAUUGACGGGGGCCCGCACAAGCGGUGGAGCAUGUGGUUUAAUUCGAAGCAACGCGAAGAACCUUACCAGGUCUUCACAUCCUCUGACAACCCUAGAGAUAGGGCUUCUCCUUCGGGAGCAGAGUGACAGGUGGUGCAUGGUUGUCGUCAGCUCGUGUCGUGAGAUGUUGGGUUAAGUCCCGCAACGAGCGCAACCCUUGAUCUUAGUUGCCAUCAUUUAGUUGGGCACUCUAAGGUGACUGCCGGUGACAAACCGGAGGAAGGUGGGGAUGACGUCAAAUCAUCAUGCCCCUUAUGACCUGGGCUACACACGUGCUCCACCCGACGGUACAAAGAGCUGCAAGACCGCGAGGUGGAGCUAAUCUCAUAAAACCGUUCUCAGUUCGGAUUGUAGGCUGCAACUCGCCUACAUGAAGCUGGAAUCGCUAGUAAUCGCGGAUCAGCAUGCCGCGGUG
This 555-nucleotide ribosomal RNA is filed under the name Bacillus paramycoides. RNAcentral's name for it is "bacterial SSU rRNA". It matches the Rfam family "Bacterial small subunit ribosomal RNA", at positions 811 to 1364 of the family's 1533-position model. The record is from RNAcentral. Lineage: Bacteria; Bacillati; Bacillota; Bacilli; Caryophanales; Bacillaceae.